This 253-nucleotide ribosomal RNA is filed under the name uncultured bacterium. RNAcentral's name for it is "partial 16S ribosomal RNA". It matches the Rfam family "Bacterial small subunit ribosomal RNA", at positions 524 to 776 of the family's 1533-position model. The record is from RNAcentral.
UACGUAGGGGGCAAGCGUUGUCCGGAAUCACUGGGCGUAAAGCGCGCGCAGGCGGUCUUUCACGUCCGGGGUGAAAGCCCAGAGCUCAACUCUGGGAUUGCCUUGGAUACGGGGAGACUUGAGGAUCGGAGAGGCAAGGGGAAUUCCACGUGUAGCGGUGAAAUGCGUAGAGAUGUGGAGGAACACCUGUGGCGAAGGCGCCUUGCUGGCCGAUUUCUGACGCUGAGGCGCGAAGGCGUGGGGAGCGAACAGG